Molecule: unclassified non-coding RNA, 183 nt
Filed under: uncultured Ascomycota
Lineage: Eukaryota; Fungi; Ascomycota
Description: sequence contains ITS1
Source: RNAcentral
CCAAUAUGAAAGCGGAUGGGGAAUCACAGGCAUAUGGGCUUCGGCCUGUUGUCUGCCCCAUCUUGCUGAAUUAUUCACCCAUGUCUUUUGCGUACUAUUUGUUUCCUUGGUGGGCUUGCCUGCCAAUAGGACAAAAUUAAACCUUUUGUAAUUGCAAUCAGCGUCAGAAAACUUUAAUAGUUA